This 72-nucleotide transfer RNA is filed under the name Pangasianodon gigas (Mekong giant catfish). RNAcentral's name for it is "tRNA-Glu". It matches the Rfam family "tRNA". Rfam says of the family: Transfer RNA (tRNA) molecules are approximately 80 nucleotides in length. Lineage: Eukaryota; Metazoa; Chordata; Actinopteri; Siluriformes; Pangasiidae. The record is from RNAcentral.
UCCCUGGAGGAUUAGUGGUUAGGCCAUGGUGCUCUCACCGCUGCUGCCCAGGUUCGAUUCCUGGCCAGGGAA